This 793-nucleotide ribosomal RNA is filed under the name uncultured archaeon. RNAcentral's name for it is "bacterial SSU rRNA". It matches the Rfam family "Archaeal small subunit ribosomal RNA", at positions 85 to 879 of the family's 1478-position model. The record is from RNAcentral.
ACUGCUCAGUAACACGUAGUCAACCUAACCUAUGGACGGAAAUAACCUCGGGAAACUGAGAAUAAUAUCCGAUAGAACACUAUACCUGGAAUGGUUUGUGUUCCAAAUGAUUUAUCGCCGUAGGAUGGGACUGCGGCCUAUCAGUUUGUUGGUGAGGUAAUGGCCCACCAAGACUAUUACAGGUACGGGCUCUGAGAGGAGUAGCCCGGAGAUGGGUACUGAGACACGGACCCAGGCCCUAUGGGGCGCAGCAGGCGAGAAAACUUUGCAAUGUGCGAAAGCACGACAAGGUUAAUCCGAGUGAUUUGUGCUAAACGAAUCUUUUGUUAGUCUUAGAACCACUAACGAAUAAGGGGUGGGCAAGUUCUGGUGUCAGCCGCCGCGGUAAAACCAGCACCUCAAGUGGUCAGGAUGAUUAUUGGGCCUAAAGCAUCCGUAGCCGGCUCUGUAAGUUUUCGGUUAAAUCUGUACGCUCAACGUACAGGCUGCCGGGAAUACUGCAGAGCUAGGGAGUGGGAGAGGUAGACGGUACUCGGAAGGAAGGGGUAAAAUCCUUUGAUCUUUUGAUGACCACCUGUGGCGAAGGCGGUCUACCAGAACACGUCCGACGGUGAGGGAUGAAAGCUGGGGGAGCAAACCGGAUUAGAUACCCGGGUAGUCCCAGCUGUAAACUAUGCAAACUCAGUGAUGCAUUGACUUGUGGUCAAUGCAGUGCUGCAGGGAAGCCGUUAAGUUUGCCGCCUGGGAAGUACGUACGCAAGUAUGAAACUUAAAGGAAUUGGCGGGGGAGCAC